This 253-nucleotide ribosomal RNA is filed under the name uncultured bacterium. RNAcentral describes it as "partial 16S ribosomal RNA". It matches the Rfam family "Bacterial small subunit ribosomal RNA", at positions 524 to 776 of the family's 1533-position model. The record is from RNAcentral.
UACGUAGGGGGCUAGCGUUGUCCGGAAUCAUUGGGCGUAAAGAGCGUGUAGGCGGUUCGGUAAGUCUGCCGUGAAAACCUGGGGCUCAACCCCGGGCGUGCGGUGGAUACUGCCGGGCUAGAGGGUGGUAGAGGCGAGUGGAAUUCCCGGUGUAGCGGUGAAAUGCGCAGAUAUCAGGAGGAACACCAAUGGCGAAGGCAGCACUCUGGGACGUGACUGACGCUGAGACGCGAAAGCGUGGGGAGCAAACAGG